ACUAUCCGCCCGGGUACUACGAGCAACAGCUUAAAACCCAAAGGACUUGGCGGUGCUUUAGACCCAUCUAGAGGAGCCUGUUCUAAAACCGAUAAUCCCCGUUCAACCUCACCUUUUCUUGUUCUUCUCCGCCUAUAUACCGCCGUCGUCAGCUUACCCUAUGAAGGCCCUUCAGUAAGCAUAAUUGGUACAACCCAAAACGUCAGGUCGAGGUGUAGCGUAAGAAAAGGGAAGAAAUGGGCUACAUUCCCUGCAUCAGGGAAUUACGAAAAAUAUUACUGAAACGUAUAUCUAGAAGGAGGAUUUAGCAGUAAGCAGAAAAUAGAGAGUUCUACUG
Molecule: ribosomal RNA, 337 nt
Filed under: Cephalopholis argus (peacock hind)
Lineage: Eukaryota; Metazoa; Chordata; Actinopteri; Perciformes; Serranidae
Description: partial small subunit ribosomal RNA
Rfam family: Bacterial small subunit ribosomal RNA
Source: RNAcentral